This 370-nucleotide ribosomal RNA is filed under the name uncultured bacterium. RNAcentral describes it as "bacterial SSU rRNA". It matches the Rfam family "Bacterial small subunit ribosomal RNA", at positions 28 to 390 of the family's 1533-position model. The record is from RNAcentral.
GAUGAACGCUAGCGGCAGGCUUAAUACAUGCAAGUCGAGGGGCAGCAUGUUCCGUAGCAAUACGGGAUGAUGGCGACCGGCAAACGGGUGCGGAACACGUACGCAACCUACCCAAAACUGAUGAAUAGCCCUCCGAAAGGAGGAUUAAUACAUCGUAACUUAAUGAAGUGGCAUCACUUUAUUAAUAUAGCUCCGGCGGUUUUGGAUGGGCGUGCGCCUGAUUAGGUAGNGGCGGGGUAACGGCCCACCAAGCCUGCGAUCAGUAACUGGUGUGAGAGCACGACCAGUCACACGGGCACUGAGACACGGGCCCGACUCCUACGGGAGGCAGCAGUAAGGAAUAUUGGUCAAUGGACGCAAGUCUGAACCA